GAGCCUGAUUAUAGAUGUUUCAAACCCUAGGCACUCUUAGUAAGAGGCAGAGAGCCGUACGCGGUAAAGGAAAUUUCCACGCCCACUUCUCUCUCUUCUUCUCACACUCAUACACUAUGUCCUCGUCGGAGCAGCAACCGGAGGAGCCAAAGCUACUGGAGGACCCAACUACGGCGACAACUCAAAGCUCAUGUGAGAGCGAUCCUGGUUUUUGUACCAACACGGCCAAAGGAGGCUAGUACAUGACCAGCAUGAUUGGGUGAUAGCAGCAGCCCAAAGACUUUGCUGAAUGAAAACAUUAAAUGAGGAACACAUAGGAGCACAUGAAUGAGAAAGAAAAGUAGAGUCCAUGUGAAAGCAAAACCUAGCUUCUCAAGCUUUGUGGGCUGAACAUCUUUAUAAAUAGAGGCAUUCUGCUUGGGCCUUGAUGUACCAUGAGAAGAGAUCACAAGAGAGAGCAGCAACACAAGGGGGAGCUAUAGUGUGAGAAUUACUGUGGGGCAUUAUUUGGGUUGUGUUUGUGAGAGAUGUUCCAUACCUUGUGAGUGUGAUGUAAAAUUGUGAGGUUAAUUUUUUUUUUUUUUAAGGUUUCAGCUUUACUUAGAAGUUCCUUAUACCUCUCUUGUUUGUGAGUGUCUCAAAUUUUGGGCGAAAUUUGGGACUGUUAUUUCUUGUAAGCCCUUUUAUUAUAGUGGAGUUUUUGCUCUGUGCGUCCUGUGGUUUUUACCUUCUCGUAGGAGGGUUUUCCACAUAAAAUUUCGCUCUCCUUAUUUACUGCUUAUUUACCCAUUAUUUUUUUUUACUUGAUGUUACCUAAUUUACCUAGUGGGUAUUGUAGGGCCUAACAAGUGGCAUCAGAGCAAGGGUGGUGUUUUACUAUUCACGGUAACUUCAGAAAUGACGACAAUAAAAUAUGGUGUGGAGAAAUUCACCGCGAUGAUAAUUUAUCUACAUGGCAAAGGCGGAUGAAGGACGUGCUAACCCAGCAAGGUGUAAAAAAGGUACUAGACAGUAAAGUAAAGAAACUAAAAUCCAUGUCAGACAAUGACUGGGCAACUAUAGAUGAAAAAGUUGCGAGUGCAAUCCGACUGCACCAAUCAAAUGAAGUCUUCAAUAAUUUAAAUGAUGUGGAAAGUGCCAGCGAAAUGUGGACCAGAUUGGAGGGACUAUACAUGUCAAAAACCAUGACGAAUAAAUUGUACUUGAAGAAGCAGUUGUAUCCACUCCAGAUGAACGAAGGCACGGGUGUGGCAAUCUCAUGGCAGACUGAAUAAGUGCUUUUCCAGAUGAGAUUCUUAUGUGCAUUUUAUCAUUUUUUGGCUUAUGAGAGACACUGUAGCUACUGGUAUCCUUUCGCAAAGGUGGAGCUGUGGAAGAAUUUGUAGAAAUCGAUUACCAGCUUGAAAUUUGAUCUAAUCAACAAGUUUGGAUUUUACAAGCGUGAAGUUGUAACUACAAAACAGAAAGAGAAGCACGCAAGAAUGCAUGAAUAUGUGAAAUGGGUGGAUGGAUUCCUACUACAGUUUCAAGAUUCAAAUAAUGUGGAGGAAUUCAGGAUUUGUGCUGAUUUUGGUAUGGAGGGUUCUUGUUACAUUGAUCAAUGGAUUUCUUUUGCUGUAGAAAGAAAAGUUAGUAAAUUCCAUCUAAAUUUUUCUGAUGAUGAUGGCUAUUGUUCCACUUGGAAGCAUUGUAUUUUCCCUCUCUCAUUGUUUUACGGAAGAAAGUGCUUCAUCCGUAACACAUCUGUAUUUAAAAGGAAUUGAGGUUCAUCCUCCUGCUUUUGACAGGUUCACAUUUCUCACA
Long non-coding RNA from Malania oleifera, 1803 nucleotides. RefSeq lists it as uncharacterized. Lineage: Eukaryota; Viridiplantae; Streptophyta; Magnoliopsida; Santalales; Ximeniaceae. The transcript has 3 exons. The record is from RefSeq and is a predicted model, not a curated record.